CACCGGCCGCCAUCUCCUCAGGCAGCGCCGGCCCAACCGCCGCCGCGCGCCCGCCCCGCCCCCGCGCGGGCACCGCCUCAGGGGCCUGUGGUGGCGGCGGCGGCGGUGAGGUCUGUCCCGGUCCCCUCAGCCCCGGAUCCCCCAUCCCCGUUAUCCCCGUCCCCGGCGGGGAGGCUGUGCGUUCCUUCUCUUUUCCUGAAAUGGAAUUGCUUGACUAAGAUCUACAGCAGCCUGAGGGUCUGUGCUGUAAAGCCCCCUUCUGCUAGUGUCUACGGAGAAGAUGUAGUUGUCCUCUUGGCUGUGAGUCGGAUAAAGGAAUAAGGGCUGGAGACCAGGUACAUAUUUGAAAAUGGAGGUUAUGAGAUUUUCUAGCUGUUGAAACUGAAGGGUCUUUUGGGGUCUAGACGUUCAGGUAGGGUGAUGAUGGGGCAAAAGGCAUAUGGGCAGAAAUCAUGUGAGGACUGUCGCUAGCGUGGAUAGACAAGUUAAGAAUUUCUAGAUUGCAG
Molecule: long non-coding RNA, 506 nt
Filed under: Calidris pugnax (ruff)
Lineage: Eukaryota; Metazoa; Chordata; Aves; Charadriiformes; Scolopacidae
Description: lncRNA (ENSCPUG00000018922.1)
Source: RNAcentral